GAACUACGGAGGGGUAUAUGUAGGUCUGCCAUCUGAAGCUGUCAAUAUGAUAUCUAAUCAAACAAAGACUGUACGCAAAAAUUAGAAGAAAAUAUCAUGACUCAAUAAUCAAGAGCUUGCUCAUUGAGAUUUGGAAGGAAUUGCAUUCCAUGGGACAUCAUAAUGUGUACAGAAAUUUCCAAGGAAAUUCUAAAUAGUCUCCUGCUCCGCCUCCCCUCUCCACCCAAAUUCUUAAGUCUGUAAUUGAAACCAUGGGUACAUGUUGAAUGUUGUACUAGAAAGGAAUCAGGUCAACAAUACACGGGUAUAUGGAACUUUCUGGGGUCCUUCUGUGAAAGACAAGGUGACAAACUGCUAUCUGGAGCUAGCCUGCUGUGUCUGGCAGGACUUGUUCCCUGGCCAUUCAGUACAGCUCAUGAAGAUCAUGUCUUUUCACUGAUACUUUUUUGAUAGUUUUUAUAUAACAAAAUCCUUAUUCUAUUUAUAACUUCAGAUAAGAAGGCACUAUAAAUGAAUCCCUAACGUAAUAUAUUUGUGGGUUACCUUUCA
Molecule: long non-coding RNA, 549 nt
Organism: Canis lupus familiaris (dog)
Lineage: Eukaryota; Metazoa; Chordata; Mammalia; Carnivora; Canidae
Exons: 3
Source: RefSeq, a predicted model, not a curated record